CAAGAAUUAAAAGAACAAAAAAUAAUCAUAAUAAUAAUAAAAUGAACUCUUAAACUCAUUAGUUGGUUGCCCAUCUGCUCAUUAAUUGGCUGACAUAAAUACUUCAAAGCAAACAAAGUUCGAAAAGCAAAUUUUGAAGCGAACAAACUUUAGAACUUUUUUACAAAUUGAAAUUUAUCAUACAUGCAUUUAGUUCUAGAACAUACUUUUACAUCUCAAAUAAUCUGCAAUAUACUUUCGUCUGCUGAGAUUUUUAUUUUUUUGGGGUACUCGAAUAUUGGACUCCAUAGAAUGUGGAUAAGCUCUGAAGCAAACUGACUUUGGCUUGCAGUAAAGAAAUGUAAUUUGCAGUCAUCUGAUACAAGGUCUCCAUGUUCAUUUCUGAGCGACCUGAAGGAAUCAUCCUCUUGAGCUGCUUAAGCCUCCUUCCAGUUAAAGAUAGUUUCACUCUUCUUUUCCUUCUCAUAUUCCUCACUCCCCUUUUUGAAAACCUUGAUAACAUUCUCAGAAUGACGCAACAAAUUAGAGAAGUAGAGAGAUGGGUACAUGGAUCAAGGGUUAGUCUAGAUGAUUUUUUUUUAUAGGCAAAUUAAAUCAGGCACAAAGUUCCCACACGUGUGCGCGCAUGCGUAAAGUGGAAAUGGAUUUAUCAUUGAAAACUCAAUCUAUUGGUAAACCAAACGAAUAAAGAUAGA
RNAcentral lists this long non-coding RNA (695 nucleotides) under Citrus maxima (pomelo). Its description in RNAcentral is "long non-coding RNA (CMAX_LNC002000)". The record is from RNAcentral. Lineage: Eukaryota; Viridiplantae; Streptophyta; Magnoliopsida; Sapindales; Rutaceae.